Passer domesticus (house sparrow) is the source of this 924-nucleotide long non-coding RNA. RefSeq lists it as uncharacterized. The transcript has 3 exons. The record is from RefSeq and is a predicted model, not a curated record. Lineage: Eukaryota; Metazoa; Chordata; Aves; Passeriformes; Passeridae.
UUUAAGGACUGAGAGGGAUUCUGCAGCAUGCUGAAAAAAGCCUUGCAGCUCAGUAAGAAAGAUCCAUCUUGUAAAUGUCCUCCAGAGCCUGCCGCCUCUGAGAAAUGAGCUGCUUCCAGAUGAAUUCCACUGUUCUCAGAAUCUCCUGGCGGACUAGGAAACAAAAGUAUCACCCAAAAAAAUUUCUUCAUUUAUGUUCUCAAGUCAAUCAACAGGUAUUCCUAAGCAAGAGUGACCCAGCCGUAAAUUCAGACAAGGCACCAGCAGCCAACCUCCACAUUGCAGACUGAAGAUACACCCAACCAGAAAGGUGACCUAUCAUCAUCAAGAAUGAAAAAACUGAGUACUGUUGUGGGCAAGACCUGCCUCUGGUCUCUGUAAAACAUGAGCCCAUCACAUGCUGUGCUACAUAGCCAGGGCAGUAGUUGUUGUGCCCCUUGGCAGUCCCUGCUCACUGCCAUGUUCAGUAUUGCCCUCUGAGGGCACAGCAGGAUUUGGGGUUACAGGUAAAGGCUGCCACCAGCACUUGUCACACCUGGGCUCUUUAUUCAGCCAUUCACACUGCACUGUCCUUGCAAUGAAACACUUACCUUGUCCACAGUGAAUCUAACCAUUUCCAGCAGUAACACAGCUGCCUCUGCACACAGCCCAAACUUGAGGACAUUCUCUCUGAGGUGAUGCUGCAAGAUCCACUGCAACAUAGACUCAAGAUCUUUCUACACAGGAGGAAUAACAUUUCAUUAAGAGAUGGGAAUUAUAUAUGAUACAUCAAGAACAAUGCCUGCUGUCUCUACAUCAGAACAAAAUCAACAUUUGUCUACCUUCAGCAGCUUCUUCCUCUCAUUAAAUUUGUAACAUUUAACACCUGCAUGAACAAGGUUGUUCUGAACAUAAAUUUUCUUAAAUAAAAGUUAAUUAACUUAA